Molecule: long non-coding RNA, 1746 nt
Filed under: Triticum aestivum (bread wheat)
Lineage: Eukaryota; Viridiplantae; Streptophyta; Magnoliopsida; Poales; Poaceae
Description: long non-coding RNA (TAES_LNC007667)
Source: RNAcentral
UUGUUUUUUCACCAUAUAUUAUUGGAAAAAAUACUGAACAUCCAUGCCUUCAUGGCCCCCCUCUAGUUUGGUGCAUAAAUCAGAGGUACAAAGAGAUACUAAACAUUACAUAACAAGAUAUUUGAUUUCUUUAAAAAAUCAUGCAUAAAGAAACCGUGACCAUGUCUCAAAAAAAUAGUACAAGAACAUUAAACCUUGACAGAAGGAGAUCUAACACUAAAAAGUGAAUGAGCUACCAGAGGCUGAAGGACAUUGGUCAGGAGUUAGGACACAGCGAGGCGCAACAGUGAUCACUCGACCUUGGGUACUAUAGGGACUUCAGGCCUGAAGGACAUUGGUCAUAAGUCAAGACCAUCGGCGUGAAUCUCAUCGGUGUGCAGGGAAGCAUCUAGAGAUGAAGGUCGUUCGUGCCGCCGCCUGGUGGAUUGCUAUAGUUGGAGGAGGGGGGCUCGCCACCGUCUCCUCCUGGCUGUUGUGCCGCCAUUGUCACCUUAUGAUUGGACACGGUGGAUCGAGUUACAUCUAGAAGAAACAAAAUGAAUGUCAUAAUUAGUAAAGAAUUUUCAGCGACAAAAGGAUAAACAAGAAUUGGAAUGUUAAAACAAAACCUGCACCUACACAAGUACUGUAUAUUUUAUAUUAGCACAAGUGCAGAUCAUGUCCCAGUCUUCACUUUGUUUACAAAAAAGUUCAGAAUAGCAAUCUUGGCGAGCCCUAUAAGGAAGCAUUCCAUGAUCUCGGCCGGGUUCCAUCCGCGUGGCGCGCUGCUGAUUGUGUGGUGCUGAUAUUGAACUUAUAAUAAAAUUGAGUUCUAGAAACAAUUCCUACAUUGUCUCAUUAGUAAUCACACCAAGAAUACUUAUCCUCCUAUAGAUCUGACUUGCCUCUGUGUUUUGGUGUGCAGAAAUUGGUUACAGGUAGGAAAUAAUAUAACUAAUCGGUAUCUUGAGUUGCAAAGAGAUCACUCAGAACGGUGCCUGAUAUUAUGCCAUAAAGAACUCACAUUUUUUAUUGUCCCUCUAGAUAUGUACGCACCUUUCUCUGUUGGAUGCAUGCACAAUUCUGAAUUAAGAACAAAUGACAUGUUGAUUAGCUAUCUUACAAAUGCUUUUCCGAGGGAAGUCGAUUAUGCAUAAAAAGGCACUUCUGUGAUGCUGUAUAAAUUAUGUCAUGGGCGGGAAAGCAAUUUUUGACCCCGUGAUUUCUCUGUACAUUAGGCAAUGCCGUGAAGUAACUUUUUUACGAAGAGGGGAGCCCAUCAAUUUCCCACUGGAUUUUCUGGUGUCCCGUUUUAUAAUAAGUUCUUUGCUGGAAAAAACAUACAUAUAAUUAGUUACUCUAUUUGUCCCGACGUCGUGGACUAUGUCUAUAGUUUAAUUUAAUUUGUAAAUGAAACCGAACGGCGAUUUCUAUUUUCUACAGAUAAAACAUGGUGGUUUUAGACCAACAUAAAUAUGUAUACCUUUAUUUAGGUUUCAGUUCGAAGGUCUCAAUGCUCCAAUUUCUCAUUUUGAAACCUGAAACUGAAAGGAAUUUAACAAAUCAACAUAGCCUCGUGGAGCCUUGAUCUUAGUUGCAUUAAACCAAUCAGAGUAAGAAUGUAGUUCUGUAUCCUAGCUGUGUACAUCUUCUCUAAAAGUAAUAAUAAAGGCUACCGUGUUCAUUCAAGAAUAAAAAAUCCCAUGUCAGGAUAAUCUUUCAGUACAAAAGCUUGGUGCAUUUCCUUUAGACACACUAAAAACCGAC